CUUCGGUCCAGGGCAUCUAGUAUUUUUACGACAUUGACUCAUCAAAAGUGAUUCUUCAAAGUACAGUGGUGGGAGCACGAAGAAAGGGUCGUCCAGAGAAAAGCUGACUGGACAACGUGAAAGAAUGGACCUGCCUCUCUCUCUUGAUAUCCUGCUAAGAACAACUGCUGACCAGAAAAAGUAGAGGGAUUUGGUUAAGUGAACUGUGACAGAACCCCCUACAAUGAAAGUCAAGGGGCAGAUAAGAUGAUGAUUAGUUUCUAAUUUCGAAUAUUUUAUUUUAUUACUUCCUUUAUGUAAGUGGCAAACUUUGUGACAGCUUCUCAUAGACAUUAGGAGUAUAUGUAUAUAUAUAUUAGUGACAAACGUUUUAAUUAACUUCCCCUCUCAAUACCACCCAUCCCACUCCUCAGCCGUAAAAUAUUUUUAAUUGUAGAUUUCUUAUUUUAAUGAAAGCCAUUAAAAAAAAACAACAACAAUUAGGCCAGAUUUUGACGAGAAGAUAAGAUCCACUGAUUACGAUUGCAAUUUUUCUUUUCUUAAGAACGACUUAGACCUUAAACAAUUAGUUCUGAAUCAUUGCUGUCAACAUGAGACUCUUGGUUUGUUUAGCUUUGACUGUUUUUGUGUCAGUGACACUGUCAGCGCCGUCCUUCAAGCGAGGCUUCUGUCUGUCGCUGUGUGGCUCGGUCAACAACGUGACGUGCCCCUCGGGCUACGAGUGUCGCUCCAAUGGCUGCGGGCACCAGUGUUACAAGACAACGUUCGUGCAACCAGCAGGUUGUUCCGAGUUGGUCUGCGCUCUGAAUUGUCCUCUGGGUUAUGCCCGAACUGACCAAGGUUGUGAAAUAUGCCAGUGUGACUAUUCCAGACUUGGUUGACAGAACAAAGGGAAAGAAUAUUGAACGCUGUAAGAUUUACAAGAACUAGCGAAAUAAAUGUUUGGCAACAGUAUAAUUAAAACAAGUCACACUAAUCUGUA
RNA transcript from Biomphalaria glabrata, 982 nucleotides. It is a transcript of the gene named antistasin-like, with no coding region annotated. Lineage: Eukaryota; Metazoa; Mollusca; Gastropoda; Planorbidae. The transcript has 5 exons. The record is from RefSeq and is a predicted model, not a curated record.